This 483-nucleotide ribosomal RNA is filed under the name uncultured Fusarium. RNAcentral's name for it is "eukaryotic LSU rRNA". It matches the Rfam family "Eukaryotic large subunit ribosomal RNA", at positions 87 to 581 of the family's 3401-position model. The record is from RNAcentral. Lineage: Eukaryota; Fungi; Ascomycota; Sordariomycetes; Hypocreales; Nectriaceae.
CGGCGAGUGAAGCGGCAACAGCUCAAAUUUGAAAUCUGGCCCCCGGGUCCGAGUUGUAAUUUGUAGAGGAUGCUUUUGGUGAGGUACCUUCCGAGUUCCCUGGAACGGGACGCCAUAGAGGGUGAGAGCCCCGUCUGGUCGGAUACCGAUCCUCUGUAAAGCUCCUUCGACGAGUCGAGUAGUUUGGGAAUGCUGCUCUAAAUGGGAGGUAUAUGUCUUCUAAAGCUAAAUAUAGGCCAGAGACCGAUAGCGCACAAGUAGAGUGAUCGAAAGAUGAAAAGCACUUUGAAAAGAGGGUUAAACAGUACGUGAAAUUGUUGAAAGGGAAGCGCUUGUGACCAGACUUGGGCCCGGUUAAUCAUCCAGCGUUCUCGCUGGUGCACUUGGCCGGCCCAGGCCAGCAUCAGUUCGGCGUGGGGGAUAAAGGCGGCGGGAAUGUGGCUCCUCCGGGAGUGUUAUAGCCCACCGUGUAAUACCCUGUGC